This 275-nucleotide ribosomal RNA is filed under the name uncultured Bacteroidota bacterium. RNAcentral's name for it is "uncultured Bacteroidetes bacterium partial 16S ribosomal RNA". It matches the Rfam family "Bacterial small subunit ribosomal RNA", at positions 68 to 339 of the family's 1533-position model. The record is from RNAcentral. Lineage: Bacteria; Pseudomonadati; Bacteroidota.
AGCAUGGUCUUAGCUUGCUAAGACUGAUGGCGACCGGCGCACGGGUGAGUAACGCGUAUGCAACCUGCCCGAUACCGGGGUAUAGCCCAUGGAAACGUGGAUUAACACCCCAUAGUACUUUUAUCCUGCAUGGGAUGUGAGUUAAAUGUUCAAGGUAUCGGAUGGGCAUGCGUCCUAUUAGUUAGUUGGCGGGGUAACAGCCCACCAAGACGAUGAUAGGUAGGGGUUCUGAGAGGAAGGUCCCCACAUUGGAACUGAGACACGGUCCAAACUCC